GUGGGUAGUUUGACUGGGGCGGUCUCCUCCUAAAGAGUAACGGAGGAGCACGAAGGUUGGCUAAUCCUGGUCGGACAUCAGGAGGUUAGUGCAAUGGCAUAAGCCAGCUUGACUGCGAGCGUGACGGCGCGAGCAGGUGCGAAAGCAGGUCAUAGUGAUCCGGUGGUUCUGAAUGGAAGGGCCAUCGCUCAACGGAUAAAAGGUACUCCGGGGAUAACAGGCUGAUACCGCCCAAGAGUUCAUAUCGACGGCGGUGUUUGGCACCUCGAUGUCGGCUCAUCACAUCCUGGGGCUGAAGUAGGUCCCAAGGGUAUGGCUGUUCGCCAUUUAAAGUGGUACGCGAGCUGGGUUUAGAACGUCGUGAGACAGUUCGGUCCCUAUCUGCCGUGGGCGCUGGAGAACUGAGGGGGGCUGCUCCUAGUACGAGAGGACCGGAGUGGACGCAUCACUGGUGUUCGGGUUGUCAUGCC
This 470-nucleotide ribosomal RNA is filed under the name Salmonella enterica. Its description in RNAcentral is "partial 23S ribosomal RNA". It matches the Rfam family "Bacterial large subunit ribosomal RNA", at positions 2261 to 2730 of the family's 2925-position model. RNAcentral also lists the same sequence under 10 other names. The record is from RNAcentral. Lineage: Bacteria; Pseudomonadati; Pseudomonadota; Gammaproteobacteria; Enterobacterales; Enterobacteriaceae.